CAUGUCUUUUUGAUUAUAAUUUAAGGUCUAAUCUGCACAAUGAGGAUUUAAAUUGCUGCAGUAUAUUGACUGUGCAAAGGUAGCAUAAUAAAUAGUUUCUUAAUUAGAAACUGGUAUGAAUGAUUGGACGAGAAAAUUUCUGUUUCUUAUUAAAUAUUUAUUGAAUUUUAUUUUUAAGUUAAAAAGCUUAAAUUUUUUUAAAAGACGAGAAGACCCUAUAGAGUUUAAUAUUUUUAUAAGUUAUUUUUUAGUAAUUUAAUUUAAGAAGAAGUAUUUAGUUGGGGUGAUUGAAAGAUAAAUAAAAUUCUUUUUUUUAUUAGUUAAUGAUUUUUAAUUUUUUUAUUUAAUUUUAUUAAAUUUAAAAUAAAUUACCUUAGGGAUAACAGCGUAAUUUUCUUUUAAAGUUCAUAUUAAAAAGAAAUUUUGCGACCUCGAUGUUGGAUUAAAAUUAAUUUUUGGUGUAGUAGUUAAAAAAUUAGGUCUGUUCGACCUUUAAAAUUUUACAUGAUCUGAGUUUAGACCGGUGUAAGCCAGGUUGGAUUCUAUCUUUAGAAUAAAGAUAUAUUUUAGUACGAAAGGACCAAAUAUAUAUUAAAUUAAUUA
Molecule: ribosomal RNA, 603 nt
Filed under: Plateros sp. UPOL A00481
Lineage: Eukaryota; Metazoa; Arthropoda; Insecta; Coleoptera; Lycidae
Description: partial 16S ribosomal RNA
Rfam family: Bacterial large subunit ribosomal RNA (bases 379-537)
Source: RNAcentral